CUGGUUCUCCGCGAAAUCUAUUUAGGUAGAGCGUCAGACGAAUACCUUCGGGGGUAGAGCACUGAAUGGGCUAGGGGGCCUUACCGGCUUACCAAACCUAAUCAAACUCCGAAUACCGAAGAGUACUAUCUGGCAGACAGACUACGGGUGCUAAGGUCCGUGGUCGAGAGGGAAACAGCCCAGACCGCCAGUUAAGGUCCCAAAGUUGUGGCUAAGUGGGAAAGGAUGUAGGACGGCCAAGACAACCAGGACGUUGGCUUAGAAGCAGCCAUCGUUUAAAGAAAGCGUAACAGCUCACUGGUCUAAAUAAGCUGUCCCGCGCCGAAGAUGUACCGGGGCUCAAGCCACACACCGAAACUGCGGACUUGUUCUUUGAACAAGUGGUAGCGGAGCGUUCCGUAAGCCUGUGAAGGUGAACCGUAAGGUUUGCUGGAGGUAUCGGAAGCGAGAAUGCUGACAUGAGUAGCGAUAAAGGGAGUGAGAACCUCCCUCGCCGAAAGCCCAAGGGUUCCUGCGCAAGGCCAAUCCGCGCAGGGUGAGUCGGCCCCUAAGACGAGGCAGAAAUGCGUAGUCGAUGGGAAACAGGUUAAUAUUCCUGUACCCGUGAGAAGUGACGGCCUCUGGAAGUAGUUUUUCCUUAUUGGAUUGGAGAAGCUGCCAAGGAGGUCCAGGAAAUAACUCUCACAUAUGGACCGUACCCCAAACCGACACAGGUGGGCAGGUUGAAUAUACCAAGGCGCUUGAGAGAAUGGUGUUGAAGGAACUCGGCAAAUUGCCCCCGUAACUUCGGGAGAAGGGGGCCCUCCAUGAAGGCAACUUCAUGGGGGGGGCACAGACUAGGGGGUGGCGACUGUUUACUAAAAACACAGGGCUCUGCGAAGUCGCAAGACGACGUAUAGGGUCUGACGCCUGCCCGGUGCCGGAAGG
RNAcentral lists this ribosomal RNA (927 nucleotides) under uncultured Vexilliferidae. Its description in RNAcentral is "partial Bacterial large subunit ribosomal RNA". It matches the Rfam family "Bacterial large subunit ribosomal RNA", at positions 849 to 1876 of the family's 2925-position model. Lineage: Eukaryota; Discosea; Flabellinia; Dactylopodida; Vexilliferidae. The record is from RNAcentral.